UCCCAGAUGGAGCCACAGCCCCACACCCACUCAGCUUCCUCUGGGCAGCAUGGACACAGUGUGGGAGCUCACUGCACAGCAGGAGGAGGACACAAGGGCAGGGGGAGAGGAAGGAGAGGAAGAAUGAGCACAAUUUUCCUUUCCUUUUAAAGGUUUUGGCAGCAAAAGCACCAAUGGGGAUGCUGAGGUGUGAUCAUCAGCACCCACACAGCACCACUGGUGGCUUCCCUUAGCCCCAGCUCCACCACACAGGGAUGGGAAAGGUGCACAAGUGGACAGGAAUUGCUGCCAAGGUCCACGGGGUGUCCCCAAGCAGGUGGGAACGGGGAUGCCAGGGGAAACAUCCUCAGCUCCACCACUGCUGCUUGGGAGAGCUUGGCCAGUCUAACACAGGCACACAUAAAACUAGGCAGGAGUGGUGUGUUUAAACUGCUGGGCUCAAGGAGUGCAAAUUGGAAAGAGACCCAGCAUGGGCAGGGGCUGCCUUGGCUGUUCCAUCUCAUUAAACCAUCCUCUAGGAAAGUCUAUUACAGCUCUCUCAGACUUGGACUAAACACAUCCAAGGUAACUCCACUAACCAGAUCCCAGGAUAAUCCCAGACACAUCUAAAUUAACUCCCACUAACCAGAUCCCAGGAUAAUCCCAGCAGGAUCCAGUGAUGGAUGGAGCCAAGCUGUGCUGGACACCACUAAAGAAACAGCCCUGAGCUGUGGGUUCAAGGGCUCCAUCCCAAAUACAGGAGCAGCCCAGGAGCUCAGACUGCAGCUGCCUCUCCUGCUGGAAAAGCACGGCAAGGGGAAUGGCAGAGCCCCCUCCAACCACAGCACACCAGUUUUUGUUCCCCAAUCCAUCUUGCAGAUUCCCAGCACUGCCUACUCAGCAUCUUCUACAGAUGCAGAAGUUUCUCAGCUGAUUAAAAAGUCUGGAGUAAAUAAAAAAAAGCAAUGAGUCAACGUUUUUAGGGGAAUUUCCUUCAGCUUCCUCUGCCUUUCCCCUGCUCAGCCCUGCUGCCCCAGACCCUGCCUGAGGCUUCCCCACUGCAGGGUGCUUGUUCCUGCUGAGAUUAAACCACGGCUGCAGGAGAGAAGUGACGCUGUCACCACCCCCCCAGGCUCACCCUGUCUGCUGGAACAGGCUCUCACACACACUGAGCAGGGCACACCUGGGCCUCCCCCUCCAACCUGCCCCAGCGCAGCUUUCCAGGAGCCACAGCUGGCACACACUGGGGACUCUGGGGAGUCCAGCCUCCAGAG
RNAcentral lists this long non-coding RNA (1253 nucleotides) under Ficedula albicollis (Collared flycatcher). Its description in RNAcentral is "lncRNA (ENSFALG00000025139.1)". Lineage: Eukaryota; Metazoa; Chordata; Aves; Passeriformes; Muscicapidae. The record is from RNAcentral.